RNAcentral lists this ribosomal RNA (253 nucleotides) under uncultured bacterium. Its description in RNAcentral is "partial 16S ribosomal RNA". It matches the Rfam family "Bacterial small subunit ribosomal RNA", at positions 524 to 776 of the family's 1533-position model. The record is from RNAcentral.
UACGUAGGGUGCGAGCGUUGUCCGGAAUUAUUGGGCGUAAAGAGCUUGUAGGCGGUCUGUCGCGUCUGCUGUGAAAAUCCGGGGCUCAGCCCCGGACUUGCAGUGGGUACGGGCAGACUAGAGUGUGGUAGGGGAGACUGGAAUUCCUGGUGUAGCGGUGAAAUGCGCAGAUAUCAGGAGGAACACCGAUGGCGAAGGCAGGUCUCUGGGCCACUACUGACGCUGAGAAGCGAAAGCAUGGGGAGCGAACAGG